UCCCUAUGGGGUGCAGCAGUCGCGAAAACUCCGCAAUGCACGAAAGUGUGACGGGGCUACCCCGAGUGCCGUCCGCUGAGGAUGGCUUUUCCUUGGUAUAACUAGCCGUGGGAAUAAGGAGAGGGCAAGACUGGUGUCAGCCGCCGCGGUAAUACCAGCUCUCCGAGUGGUAGGGAUGAUUAUUGGGCUUAAAGCGUCCGUAGCCGACUUAGCAAGUCUCCUGUUAAAUUCAGCGACAUAAUCGUUGAGCCGCGGGAGAUACUACUAGGUUAGGAGGCGGGAGAGGUCGACGGUACUUCUGGGGUAGGGGUGAAAUCCUAUAAUCCCGGGAGGACCACCAGUGGCGAAGGCUGUCGACUAGAACGCGCUCGACGGUGAGGGACGAAAGCUGGGGGAGCGAACCGGAUUAGAUACCCGGGUAGUCCCAGCUGUAAACGAUGCGGGCUAGGUGUUGGAGUGGCUACGUGCCACUUCAGUGCCGCAGGGAAGCCAUUAAGCCCGCCGCCUGGGGAGUACGGCCGCAAGGCUGAAACUUAAAGGAAUUGGCGGGGGAGCACCACAAGGCGUGAAGCUUGCGGUUCAAUUGGAUUCAACGCCGGAA
This 601-nucleotide ribosomal RNA is filed under the name uncultured archaeon. RNAcentral's name for it is "bacterial SSU rRNA". It matches the Rfam family "Archaeal small subunit ribosomal RNA", at positions 319 to 923 of the family's 1478-position model. The record is from RNAcentral.